UACGUAGGGUGCGAGCGUUAAUCGGAAUUACUGGGCGUAAAGCGUGCGCAGGCGGUUUUGUAAGCCAGAUGUGAAAUCCCCGGGCUCAACCUGGGAACUGCAUUUGGGACUGCAAGGCUAGAGUACGGCAGAGGGGGGUAGAAUUCCUGGUGUAGCAGUGAAAUGCGUAGAUAUCAGGAGGAAUACCGAUGGCGAAGGCAGCCCCCUGGGUCGAUACUGACGCUCAUGCACGAAAGCGUGGGGAGCAAACAGG
This 253-nucleotide ribosomal RNA is filed under the name uncultured bacterium. RNAcentral describes it as "partial 16S ribosomal RNA". It matches the Rfam family "Bacterial small subunit ribosomal RNA", at positions 524 to 776 of the family's 1533-position model. The record is from RNAcentral.